CCUACGGGGGGCAGCAGUGGGGAAUAUUGGACAAUGGGGGGAACCCUGAUCCAGCCAUGCCGCGUGUGUGAAGAAGGCCCUCGGGUUGUAAAGCACUUUCAGUGAGGAAGAACGCCUGGUGGUUAAUACCCAUCAGGAAAGACAUCACUCACAGAAGAAGCACCGGCUAACUCCGUGCCAGCAGCCGCGGUAAUACGGAGGGUGCGAGCGUUAAUCGGAAUCACUGGGCGUAAAGCGCGCGUAGGUGGCUUGAUAAGCCGGUUGUGAAAGCCCCGGGCUCAACCUGGGAACGGCAUCCGGAACUGUCAAGCUAGAGUGCAGGAGAGGAAGGUAGAAUUCCCGGUGUAGCGGUGAAAUGCGUAGAGAUCGGGAGGAAUACCAGUGGCGAAGGCGGCCUUCUGGACUGACACUGACACUGAGGUGCGAAAGCGUGGGUAGCAAACAGGAUUAGAUACCCCAGUAGUC
Molecule: ribosomal RNA, 465 nt
Filed under: Vreelandella stevensii
Lineage: Bacteria; Pseudomonadati; Pseudomonadota; Gammaproteobacteria; Oceanospirillales; Halomonadaceae
Description: partial 16S ribosomal RNA
Rfam family: Bacterial small subunit ribosomal RNA
Source: RNAcentral